AUGUCACAAAUAACAUUUGAUUUGAUCUCUGUCUGUCUCUGUUUCUGUCUGUCUCUGUUUCUGUCUGUCUCUGUUUCUGUCUGUCUCUGUUUCUGUCUGUCUCUGUUUCUGUCUGUGUCUCUGUCUCUAUCUGUGUCUCUGUCUGUCUCUGUUUCUGUCUGUCUCUGUUUCUGUCUGUCUCUGUUUCUGUCUGUGUCUCUGUCUCUAUCUGUGUCUCUGUCUGUCUCUGUUUCUGUCUGUCUCUGUUUCUGUCUGUGUCUGUUUCUGUCUGUGUCUCUGUCUCUAUCUGUGUCUCUGUCUGUCUCUGUUUCUGUCUGUCUCUGUUUCUGUCUGUGUCUCUAUCUGUGUCUCUGUCUGUCUCUGUUUCUGUCUGUCUCUGUUUCUGUCUGUGUCUCUGUCUGUGUCUCUGUCUCUAUCUGUGUCUCUGUCUGUCUCUGUUUCUGUCUCUAUCUGUGUCUCUGUCUCUAUCUGUGUCUCUGUCUGUCUGUGUCUCUGUCUCUAUCUGUGUCUCUGUCUGUCUCUGUUUCUGUCUGUGUCUCUGUCUCUAUCUGUGUCUCUGUCUGUCUGUGUCUCUGUCUGUCUGUGUCUCUGUCUCUAUCUGUGUCUCUGUCUGUCUGUGUCUCUGUCUCUAUCUGUGUCUCUGUCUGUCUGUGUCUCUGUCUCUAUCUGUGUCUCUGUCUGUCUGUGUCUCUGUCUCUAUUUGUGUCUCUGUCUGUCUGUGUCUCUGUCUCUAUCUGUGUCUCUGUCUGUCUGUGUCUCUAUCUCUGUCUUUCUGUCUGUGUCUCUGUCUCUAUCUGUGUCUCUGUCUCUAUCUGUGUCUCUGUCUGUCUGUGUCUCUGUCUCUCUCUCUAUCUGUGUCUCUGUGUGUGUCUAUUUGUGUCUCUAUAUCUGUCUGUGUCUAUCUGUGUCUCUAUCUAUGUGUGUGUCCCUAUCUCUGUCUCUAUCUCUGUGUGUGUGUCUAUCUCUGUGUGUCCCUAUAUCUGUGUCUAUCUCUGUGUGUCUCUGUGUGUCUCUAUCUCUGUCUCUCUCUGUGUCUCUAUCUCUGUGUGCAUCUCAACAGUCUAA
Molecule: long non-coding RNA, 1065 nt
Filed under: Oncorhynchus mykiss (rainbow trout)
Lineage: Eukaryota; Metazoa; Chordata; Actinopteri; Salmoniformes; Salmonidae
Description: lncRNA (ENSOMYG00000075049.1)
Source: RNAcentral